Non-coding RNA from Pyrenophora teres f. teres 0-1, 72 nucleotides. Lineage: Eukaryota; Fungi; Ascomycota; Dothideomycetes; Pleosporales; Pleosporaceae. The record is from Rfam.
GCUCCUUUGGCUUAGCGGUAAAGCGUCGCACUUGUAAUGCGAAGAUCACUCGUUCGAUUCGGGUAAGGAGCA